UUUCAUCCAAAGGAGCCCCAGUCCUGAAUCGGAGCAAACUCACCUGGAAAACAGGCCGAGAAGCCUUUGAAAUGGCCAGGCCGCCUUUCAGAGAAAUGCUUUAAGGAAUUAUUCCUGAAGUCUAAAUGGAGCUGGAUGGGCCUUUUCUAAACCCUUAAAAUCUGAAAUGACCUGAAGGUAAAAAGACUACUUGACUUUGGAUUUAAUUUCUUUGUAAUACUUUCUUCACUGCUUCCAGCUCAGACUACAGUAGUUUACACAAACUUAAGAGAGCCAGUCUGAUAAGAAGUUAUUAAAAUUCUAUUUAUCAUUUUAAGUUUAUUUAUUGUUAAAAAAGGAUUUAAAUGAGGAA
RNAcentral lists this long non-coding RNA (352 nucleotides) under Cyanistes caeruleus (blue tit). Its description in RNAcentral is "lncRNA (ENSCCEG00000015482.1)". The record is from RNAcentral. Lineage: Eukaryota; Metazoa; Chordata; Aves; Passeriformes; Paridae.